UACGUAGGUGACAAGCGUUGUCCGGAUUUACUGGGCGUAAAGAGCGCGCAGGCGGUCGUUCAAGUCGAGUGUGAAAGCCCCCGGCUCAACUGGGGAGGGUCAUUCGAUACUGAUCGACUCGAAGGCAGGAGAGGGAAGUGGAAUUCCCGGUGUAGUGGUGAAAUGCGUAGAUAUCGGGAGGAACACCAGUGGCGAAGGCGACUACCUGGCCUGUUCUUGACGCUGAGGCGCGAAAGCUAGGGGAGCAAACGGG
Molecule: ribosomal RNA, 253 nt
Filed under: uncultured bacterium
Lineage: Bacteria
Description: partial 16S ribosomal RNA
Rfam family: Bacterial small subunit ribosomal RNA
Source: RNAcentral